GGUCUCCCAGCGCUUGCCACAGGCUGUGUUCUUACAUUGACUGCACAUAAAAAAGGAGGCAGAGUAAACCACCCCAUAUAUUCCUCAGCCCUGGCCCUUUGCCUGAUCUAUAUUGUGAAUGGGGGAACAUGG
Small nucleolar RNA from Eptesicus fuscus (big brown bat), 132 nucleotides. RefSeq annotates it as small nucleolar RNA SNORA51. The record is from RefSeq and is a predicted model, not a curated record. The transcript has a single exon. Lineage: Eukaryota; Metazoa; Chordata; Mammalia; Chiroptera; Vespertilionidae.